GGGCUUCUUCUCCCUUGAAGAACAAUGAAUUAGGGUUGAGAGGCUCCCUCCUCCAGGGGCCAGGGGGUCUGGUUUUAUAGUCCCUUCAAGUGAAUAUGGGCCGUUGGAUCAAACCGACAUAGAUUGUAUGGUUUAGAUUCAUCCUUUAGGUCGGUGGAAAUCUCCCGCAAAGCAGAGUCCUGAUUGGACUCAGAGGCAGGGCGGGCGCCCAGGGUCUGGCCCCGUUUCGCCUCCGCUUCGGUCUCGUGGCUUCUGGAGUCUUCUAGAUGUAAGAUAAUUGCGCGUCACGUUAAUAUCUUUACGUAAUCCCGACGUGUGGGUCUUUCUUCCGUAUUUCCUGAUAACUCCCUGCAGAAAUAGACAAACACCAAAACUCGUGGAAUUCUGUCAGAUAAAACCCUAAGUCUAGAUGUUGAUUUCAUUUGGAUCCUUUUCUUUGUUUAUUUGAUAAUUAAAUUUGAUACUUAAGGACCGUCAACAAACUCCCCCAAGCUUACCUCUUGCUCGUCCCUGAGCAAGGAUAGACUCAGCUAUGGAUCAUAAGUUGUUGCAAUAUAUUUAAAAAUUGACGGUACACAUGCUUUUUAAAUAAGAUCUCAUCUCUAAGUUAGAGUAAACUGUCAAGACUUAAAACUUACUUACUUUACCUUCACCAUGGGACUUGUAACUGUCACUUCUAUCUUGAGUAGUUAAACGAUAGAACAGUCUAGUCAAGUGCCAUGUCUCUUAUUCUUGAUCAGCUAUAGCUCUGGGGUUUUUGCAGAUUUUCAAAUAAAACUCAGAGAUUCCUUGUAUGACUCUCUCAGAUCUCUCUUUUGUGGUAUUUCUGGAUCCUUACCAAGGCAGUAAUGGUAUAUGCCUUCUCACAAUAUAUGUGGUAUUUGUGGUAUAAAGCAUAGUGACAUUGCCUUCUCUCUCACCCUACUCUAAUAAGGCUUUAAUAUCUGGAGCUCAUAGGUGGGAGAUAAAGUAUACAUACUUACAAGACAUGUAUUGUAUAGUCAAACCAUGGAUCCAAAGAAACAAAUCAAUAAGCCAAAUCAAGAUGUGCAUGUGUGGCGAAUGAAUGAUGUAUGGUGGUGAUGGUGAUAACAAUGGUGAAAACAAUGGUGGUGGAAGUCUAAUUCUACUUUGCUCUUUGAGGGGAUACAUACCUUCCUUGCUUUUUUUUUGAAUUUAUGAGGAGAAUGAGAUGCUCUUCUUUUUUUCUUUUCUCUCAGGUGGGUAUCUUGUACCCCUAAUUCUACUGUCGGACACUUGUCCAUUUUUACCUCUCGUCUCACUCUCUCUUUUCUUUCGAGGUUCCGAGCACUUGCACCUUUUUAUUUCCUCAUAUUUCUCUUUUUUUUUCUUUUUCUUUUUUUUAGAGCAUUCAUCUCUUGAGAUAAUAUAGCAAGUGGUAGUAACAAGAUAACUUGAGCAUUUAUUUCACAAGGGAAACAUAAAUAUUUUUGGCUAUUCUCUCCCGGAUUAGGAGUAGAAUAUUUUUGGGUGAUUCUGGAGAUGGAAUGGGUGGAUAUAUGUGGAUGGUACUUCCGGAGUAGAAGUAGCAUAUAUGAGUGAACGUACAAGUGAAUCUUGAUUUAACCACAUGACAAGUUCCUAAGGGUCUACACAGCUUGACCACACUCAAUGCUCAUAAGCAGUAAAUAGUAAAUGUGUGGCUCAAAGUCUAGCAAGCAUGUAUAUAUGGCUGUGGUAGGAAUUUAAACUCUCAUCAUACAUGAACUCAUCAUGCAACAUUUUAAAGAUUUUCAAAGAUAAAAUUCUCUAGAAAUCUAGCAUCUCUAGGAACAGAUAAACAGCAGCUCAACCUUCCCAUAUCGUAUCCGUUAACAACUUAGACUUCAGAUCAAAUUUUCAUCCCACAAGUUUAGGUCUAGAGCAAGCUUUAAAUUAUAACAGUUAUAUAUAUCCUUGAGAGUGAACUUAAAAUGUGCAAAUUAGGCAGAGCAACUAUUCAUCAUUUCCAUACUUAAGUUUUAUUUAGAUACAGAUUAGCAUCGCCACUUUAUUUAUUUAUUAAACACACUAAGCAAAAGAUAUAUAUAUAAGCUUAAAAUCUUUAUUUGGUUUUUUAUAGUUUAUGUAUAUUUAAUAUUCUAAUAUAAUAUAAGUAUAAAGAUAGAUAGAAAUACUUAUCGAGAUAAAUGGGGGUGCUCUCUCCCAAGCUGAAUUUUGACGUAAUUUCUCUUGAUGUAGCUAGCAGGUGGCAGAGGUGUAUUUGAAAGUCAGCAGCAUUCUGACAGCGAUUAGAAUGUCCUCCGUCUGCUAGUCUUCUUGAUUCUUAAAUUCUGCGGAGCUCAAAUAGACAACAAAGCUUGUGGAACUGAUUAAGUGUUAGCAUAAAUAUCUAGCCUUUAUCAUCUUGAGACUCCUUAAUAAUUAUUACUCCCUGUUUUUAUAUUUUUAUUUUAUAAAGCAGAAAAGAAAUUUUUAUUUUAUUUUUAUGCCACCACAGUGAAUGUACUUAUGGGUUUUAUGCCACUCGCAUACUCACAUGGGGCUUACUGUUUUUCGCAUUUUUAUUUUCUUUUAUUUUUAAGAUAGUACGAACAUGAUUAACUAAGUAAACUAGUUGAAAUAAUUGAAAAGGAAAGGAUAACUACCAAGUUUACCUCUCGGCAAGGCGUUCGGUGUUUUUUAAGUCCUCCGAACGGGACUCUCCAUUUUUUCAGUAGUCCUGAGGUUCGUUGGUGGUGUAGUCGGUACUUCCAGCGGCGCCUCCUCUUCAUGUAUAGUUAUCUUCAUUUUCCACACCUGACUUGGUGCUUCGGUCUACUCUGGAUAAUUCUGUUUAAACUCUACGUUUUCUGACCUUACAACUUUUCCUUCAUAGUCUGCCCAUCCGUCCUUGAUGAUCUGCCUCCUCUGGUUGCGGUUACGUCUUUUCCUUACCUGCUUAGAUUCUUCAACGAUAUAGUUAGGGUCAGUAAAAUAACGGCGUACCUUCUCUAAGGGGAAGUGCAUAUGGACUUCUCCGGUUCCAAUGUAGAUAAUUGCUUUAACGGUGCUGAGGAACGGUCUUCCAAGGAUGAUGGGUGGAUCGUACUUGUCUUCUCCCAUGUCAAUAACUUGAAAGUCUGUGUAGACAAAGUGAUCGUCUAUUUUGACUGGGACAUCAGUUACUAUUCCUUUAACUUCUCAAAAUGUCUGAUCUGCCAUCUGGAGUUGAAUGUAUGUUGGUCUUAGUGGCAUGGUUCCAAACAAGAGCCGAUAGGUGACUGCGGCCAUUAUGUUGACGCCCGAUCCAGUGUCGCAAAUCAUCUUGAAGAAACUAUAUCCAUUUAUGGAGCAGUAGAUGCUUGGCAUUCCUAGGUCGUCCUUCUUGGUCAAAAGCGGUGACUUAAGUUGGUGAUCUUGGCCUCCAUGAACUACAGUGACCAUCUUAGCUGACUCGGUCCACACUUGCUUGUUCCUGUUCCUCCUGUUGGUCCUCUUCCUUGACUCACGUCUGGAUUGAUCUGGAAUUUUUGUAAUCUUUUUCUUGAAGAAAAAUGUCUCCUUCUUCCCUUUGACGUAGAAACUGAUCUUGGCAGCACUAGCGUAGAUGAUAGCUCCCGUGGUGUUCAAGAAUGGCCUCCCUAAGAUGAUGGGUGCUCUCUCAUCAUUUCCGGUCUUUACCACUACGAAGUCUGCUAGGGCAUACAAGGUACCAACUCGGACGCAAAGGUUCUUCAAUAUUCCCUUUGGAAAAGUUAUCGUCUGAUCUGCAAAUUGCAAACACAUGGUUGUUUCUAAUAAAAGAUAUGUAAAGAAUUUUUCAUAGAGUACCCUGGUUAUAAUGUUGACACUGGAGCCAAAGUCGCAGAGUGCUUCUGGAACGUCCACCAUGCCGAUAGAGAUCGGGAUGACGGGGCGUCCUGGAUCGCCUCUCUUGACCGGCAGAAGGUCAGUAGAGAAUUUAGUGACGGGGUUACUUCCAAUUACCUGCAUCAAACGUGUCUACAAGAUUUGCAGAUUCUAAUCCUUCCGGUUGUGAUUGUAUACCGGGGUUAGUAGUAGGAACAGCAACAGCUAUUUGAUUUAACUGAGAUUCAAUCAUUUUAUUAAAGCUAAUUUGAUUCUUGAUGGCAGUAGAGAAAUUAUCCAUUCUAUUAUUUAUAUUUUCUAGCAUUUUAUCAUUAGAUGCCAAUUUCUUAGAUAGAUUAUCCAUUAGCUUUCCUUGAUUAGACACUAACUCUCUCAAAGGUGGAAAAUUAUUAGCAUUAUUGUUGUAAGAAUUGUUACCUUGAUAAUUACCUGAGUAGUUAGGCCUCUGUUGAUUCCAACCUUGAUUUUGUUGAGGACGGUUGUAGUAGUUGUUGUUGUUGAUGAUGUAGUUCACAUCCUCAAGCAUCUCAGGGCAGUGGUUGCCUGAGUGUCCAGUGUCUCCACACUCCUCACAAGUCAUGUGAGAGUCGUAGAUGUGCAUAACUUCUUUCUUGUCUCCAACUCUAUCAUCGAGCUUCUUCAUGAGCAGGUCUAGCUUUUGCAGACAGCAUGUCUACAUCUUUCAGCUGAUGCAUACCUCCACCUCUCUUGCGUGUCUGGGUCCUCUCUUCAUUCCAGCUUUGGUUGGACGCCAUCUUCUCCACAAGAGCUGUGGCUUGUGGUAUUGUAAGUGAUAAGAAUGCUCCUCCAGCUGCAGCAUCCAUGGUCUCUCGGGCACUGUUGCCGAGCCCAUGAUAAAACGUCUGCAUUAAUAGCCAACUCUCCAUUCCAUGAUGGGGACAUUCUAGGAUGUAGUCUUGAAAGCGCUCCCAUGCUUCUGGAACAAAUUCAUCAUUUUGUUGCUGAAAACUUGUAAUCUUCCCACGGAGAGCAUUGGUCUUGCCCAUGGGAAAGAACUUAGCCAAAAAGUUUGUUGAGCAGAGUGCCCACGUAGUAUUCUUCUCCUUUGUAGCGUAGAACCACUGCUUCGCUCUUCCUCACAGUGAGAAUGGGAAGAGGCGAAGUAGUAUAGCAUCUUUGGGAACUCCUGAUAUGGUGAAUGUGUUGCAAAUCUCCAAGAAGUGUUGUAAAUGAGCACUAGCAUCUUCGUGUGCCUUCCCACAGAACUGGUUGGAUUGCACCAUGUUGAUAAGUCCAGGCUUGAGCUCAAAGUUGCCAUCGAUCUCUGCAGCAGGUCCAGUGCGGAUGUUGUCCGUAGUGGGAGCUGAGAACUCGCGGAUUGAUUUGUUCGCCAUGGCUUCAAACUCUGAAGACAAGUUCCGGUGAUCUUCUUGAUUUGGAUGAAGCUUCUUGCUGAAGUGUUGAUGAUUUCUUUAGCUUGGCUCUCGUCUUCUUGAAUAAUGCUUCGGGAUUAUUAACAAAAUUUCCUGGAAGAUGUCUUCUAUUCAUACAUUCCCCUGCAUAAGAUGAAAUAGGAAAAUAUCGGGGUAAAACUGUAUGAGAGAAUAGAUAAGCUCAAUCAUAUUAGUGAUGCAAAUGAUAACUCAAAAUCUUUUAUUCCAUUCCUGAUUAGUAAUCAACCUUCCCCGGCAACGGCGCCAAAAAUGCUUGUUGGGUAUUCUUAACAUCAUUACCAAAAGUAGCUAAGUUCUCUAAAUCUAGUAACGGUGCCAAAAAUGCCAAACCUAUCCCUCACACCACUUAAGCCAAGUUGUCAUCCCCAACAUGAUAUAAGAGACGCGGUAUUGAAAUAUGCAAUUGCUCUUCUAAAUAAAUAAUGAAUGGGAUCUGCAAGCGCACAGAUUAAUACCGAUGCAGCAUUUUAACCGGGAAGUAUUCCAGGUAUCGUUAUUUAUAUUUUUACCACUGGGAAGGGAUUAGCAAUCAUCAAUAUUGAUUACAGAAUAGAAUAUGAGAUUGAGCAUCUAUCAUUGCAUGUAUAAUUGAGAACAUUAUAUCUAACUCAUCAUACAGGGAUAAGUGUCACAUAAAAGAUAUAUGAAAUAGUGAAUAGUGACAAGGAUAAUUAAUCUGAUCUAGCCACAUAAUAAAUAUGAUAAGCACCUCAAUUAGAUACUCUAGAAAGUCAUUAGCAUGGUAUUAGAACGAACUACAUGAAUAUUCCCUAAGUUAUUCUCAACUAUAUAGUCUAGCAUUAUCAUAAUUAGUGCAAGCAUACUUAGCAAUCAUCGCGAGACAAGACUACGCCCAUGCAUAGUGAUAUUAGCAAGGAAUAUGAGAAACAUAGCAAUCACUCCCCUUUAAUAAUGUUGCUCUGCCAACCCAAUACACGAGAGGGGGACUAUAUAAGAAUCAAUGAAGCUGUCACUAUCACGAACUACCCCACGAUCUGGCAUAUUGGGUACAAUCACAGAUAAAUACGGUAUAAGCACCACGCCUACACAAUAUCUAUCAUUUACCCAUGGAUCCGAUGGAUAAACGCUAUACGAUCCUAAGCAUGUAUAUAGAUCGAAUCUAACUAAGCCAAGUACAUAACUAUGAUAAACUAAGAACAAUAUAAUCUUGAAUAUAAGCAAGUAGAGCAAAGUCAUAAGCAAUAUAUUGAAGUAGAACAAAGUCAUAUUCAUAAUAUUGAAGAACAAAGAUAAUUAGAAGGCAAUUAGAAGCACAAUUAGAGAAUUACCAAGAAUCCUCUUGACAGAUCCGGAAACCAAUCGAAGAUUGACUCCUUCUAGUUCUAAUCCUAUGUAGCUAUGCUAAUCUAGAUGUCUAAUUGAUGUGGUGGCUCUAAUCUUGAUCAGGGGCUUCUUCUCCCUUGAAGAACAAUGAAUUAGGGUUGAGAGGCUCCCUCCUCCAGGGGCCAGGGGGUCUGGUUUUAUAGUCCCUUCAAGUGAAUAUGGGCCGUUGGAUCAAACCGACAUAGAUUGUAUGGUUUAGAUUCAUCCUUUAGGUCGGUGGAAAUCUCCCGCAAAGCAGAGUCCUGAUUGGACUCAGAGGCAGGGCGGGCGCCCUGACCAACUGGGCGGGCGCCCAGGGUCUGGCCCCGUUUCGCCUCCGCUUCGGUCUCGUGGCUUCUGCAGUCUUCUAGAUGUAAGAUAAUUGCGCGUCACGUUAAUAUCUUUACGUAAUCCCGACGUGUGGGUCUUUCUUCCGUAUUUCCUGAUAACUCCCUGCAGAAAUAGACAAACACAAAAACUCGUGGAAUUCUGUCAGAUAAAACCCUAAGUCUAGAUGUUGAUUUCAUUUGGAUCCUUUUCUUUGUUUAUUUGAUAAUUAAAUUUGAUACUUAAGGACCGUCAACAAACUCCCCCAAGCUUACCUCUUGCUCGUCCCUGAGCAAGGAUAGACUCAGCUAUGGAUCAUAAGUUGUUGCAAUAUAUUUAAAAAUUGACGGUACACAUGCUUUUUAAAUAAGAUCUCAUCUCUAAGUUAGAGUAAACUGUCAAGACUUAAAACUUACUUACUUUACCUUCACCAUGGGACUUGUAACUGUCACUUCUAUCUUGAGUAGUUAAAAGAUAGAACAGUCUAGUCAAGUGCCAUGUCUCUUAUUCUUGAUCAGCUAUAGCUCUGGGGUUUUUGCAGAUUUUCAAAUAAAACUCAGAGAUUCCUUGUAUGAUUCUCUCAGAUCUCUCUUUUGUGGUAUUUCUGGAUCCUUACCAAGGCAGUAAUGGUAUAUGCCUUCUCUCAAUAUAUGUGGUAUUUGUGGUAUAAAGCAUAGUGACAUUGCCUUCUCUCUCACCCUACUCUAAUAAGGCUUUAAUAUCUGGAGCUCAUAGGUGGGAGAUAAAGUAUACAUACUUACAAGACAAGUAUUGUAUAGUCAAACCAUGGAUCCAAAGAAACAAAUCAAUAAGCCAAAUCAAGAUGUGCAUGUGUGGCGAAUGAAUGAUGUAUGGUGGUGAUGGUGAUAACAAUGGUGAAAACAAUGGUGGUGGAAGUCUAAUUCUACUUUGCUCUUUGAGGGGAUACAUACCUUCCUUGCUUUUUUUUUGAAUUUAUGAGGAGAAUGAGAUGCUCUUCUUUUUUUCUUUUCUCUCAGGUGGGUAUCUUGUACCCCUAAUUCUACUGUCGGACACUUGUCCAUUUUUACGUCUCGUCUCACUCUCUCUUUUCUUUCGAGGUUCCGAGCACUUGCUCCUUUUUAUUUCCUCGUAUUUCUCUUUUUUUUUCUUUUUCUUUUUUUUAGAGCAUUCAUCUCUUGAGAUAAUAUAGCAAGUGGUAGUAACAAGAUAACUUGAGCAUUUAUUUCACAAGGGAAAACAGAAAUAUUUUUGGCUAUUCUCUCCCGGAUUAGGAGUAGAAUAUUUUUGGGUGAUUCCGGAGUAGAAGUAGCAUAUAUGAGUGAACGUGCAAGUGAAUCUUGAUUUAACCACAUGACAAGUUCGUAAGGGUCUACACAGCUUGACCACACUCAAUGCUCAUAAGCAGUAAAUAGUAAAUGUGUGGCUCAAAGUCUAGCAAGCAUGUAUAUAUGGCUGUGGUAGGAAUUUAAACUCUCAUCAUACAGGAACUCAUCAUGCAACAUUUUAAAGAUUUUCAAAGAUAAAAUUCUCUAGAAAUCUAGCAUCUCUAGGAACAGAUAAACAGCAGCUCAACCUUCCCAUAUCGUAUCCGUUAACAACUUAGACUUCAGAUCAAAUUUUCAUCCCACAAGUUUAGGUCUAGAGCAAGCUUUAAAUUAUAACAGUUAUAUCUAACCUUGAGAGUGAACUUAAAAUGUGCAAAUUAGGCAGAGCAACUAUUCAUCAUUUCCAUGCUUAAGUUUUAUUUAGAUACAGAUUAGCAUCGCCACUUUAUUUAUUUAUUAAACACACUAAGCAAAAGAUAUAUAUAUAAGCUUAAAAUCUUUAUUUGGUUUUUUAUAGUUUAUGUAUAUUUAAUAUUCUAAUAUAAUAUAAGUAUAAAGAUAGAUAGAAAUACUUAUCGAGAUAAAUGGGGGUGCUCUCUCCCAAGCUGAAUUUUGACGAAGUCAGCAGCAUUCUGACAGCGAUUAGAAUGUCCUCCGUCUGCUAGUCUUCUUGAUUCUUAAAUUCUGCGGAGCUCAAAUAGACAACAAAGCUUGUGGAACUGAUUAAGUGUUAGCAUAAAUAUCUAGCCUUUAUCAUCUUGAGACUCCUUAAUAAUUAUUACUCCCUGUUUUUAUAUUUUUAUUUUAUAAAGCAGAAAAGAAAUUUUUAUUUUAUUUUUAUGCCACCACAGUGAAUGUACUUAUGGGUUUUAUGCCACUCGCAUACUCACAUGUACUUAUGGGUUUUAUGACUUUCCUUACCGUUCCUAUGUGUUUCCCUCUUGAUUCCCUUUUUUGACUCCCUGGCAACGGCGCCAGAAAUGCUUGUUGACACUAGCUAACACCACUUAGAUACUAUGUUGUCAUCCCCAGCAUGGUGCCAGAGUGUACAAAGGUAUUUAUGAAUAUGGAGGCUCUCUAGAAAAUAAUCUAUUCUAUCCACAUGCGCACAGAUAAAAUACCUCAUUGUAGCAUUUCACCAGGAAAGUAUUCUAGGUAUCGUUAUUUAUAAUUUUGCUUAAGACAACAAGGGUGAAAUUAAGAUAAGGAUAAAAUCUAUCAAGGCAUAGACUAGAGAUAAACUUGCAACAACAUGAUUACUAAUGAGGAACUCGUCACACAGUCACUUAUUUUGGCAGGGGGUAAGCCAUAAUAAUAAUGAUAAUGAAAUAUAAGCCCAUGGGUAAUUAACACAGCGAUUAGAAAAUAGACUACUCCUGGUGACGUCGGAUUAGCUAGAGAAUGGAUUCUAAGUUAUCUACUAUCUACUAAGUCACAAUCUACUCUAGUUAUCUACAAGAUCAUAUAUAGCAUAAAACACUCUUCAUUUAUGUAUAAGGAACAUUGCUAAAGUAAAUCAGAGCAUUGCAAGACUUACUCCGCAAUACAAAUUCUGCCAGUCCUAUCAACGGAGGGUGGACUAUAUAAGAAUCAACGAAGCUGUCACUAUCACAAACUACCACACAACCCGACUAAUAGGAUACAUUUGCAGGUAAAUAACAUCUAAGCACCACGCCCACAUGUGAUCUACCACUUAACUCCCACGUGUCA
RNAcentral lists this long non-coding RNA (9895 nucleotides) under Sorghum bicolor (sorghum). RNAcentral describes it as "long non-coding RNA (SBIC_LNC012421)". The stretch from base 4699 to 4805 matches the Rfam family "Plant small nucleolar RNA R71". The record is from RNAcentral. Lineage: Eukaryota; Viridiplantae; Streptophyta; Magnoliopsida; Poales; Poaceae.